GUUAAAAGCCCCUCGGAUCUGUGCUGGGCCUGGCCACUCUGUGGACACCCUUGCCAAGCUCCACCUUUAGCUGGCAUGUCCGUGCUCUUGGGCUUCUCUCUGACCAGUGCAUUUUCUGUUCCUAUAACAAUACCACGGACUGGGUAAUUUAUAAUGAAAAUAAAUGUAUUUCUUAUAGUUCUGGAGGCUGGGAAGUCCAAGGGCGAGGGGCUGGCAUCUGGUAAAGGCCUUCUUGCCACACCAUUCCAUGGGGGAAGAUGGAAGAGCAAGAGGACACACAGCAAGAGACAGCUAAAUUCAUUUUUACAACACAUGCUCAUGAUAACGAACCCACUCUGAUAAUGACAUUAAUGCAUUCAUCAAGGCAGAACCCUCAUGGCCUAAUCGCUUCUUAAUGGUUCCACCUCUUAAUACCAUCACAAUGGCAAUUAAAUUUCAACAUGAAUUUUGGAGGGAACAUCCAAACCAGAGCACUGUUGACUGAGUUUUCAUUUUUUAUUUUAGUAAUUGCUUUUUAAAAAAUUUCCAGGGUCUCUGACUGGUUCUUUUUUAUAAACUACCUGUUCUUGUUUCAUAAGUGCCUCUUCAUAUGUUAUGGUUUAUUUCAAAAGUCGUCUUUAGGUCUGAGAUUUUGAUUAUAUGUGUUCUAAAGUCCUUUUCUGAUUUUUCUGUUGCCUCUGUCUCAGGUGUAAGUUUGGGUUGAGUGGCCUGUUUUCCUUCACACUGUGUUGCUGCCCUGGGCAGGUGAUUCUCAGUUGUGCCUUACCUUUACAUCUGGAGUUUCCUAAUGUUCUGUGCAAAGCAUCUGGCCUUAGGAGAGAAACACCACCAAUAAGUCCCAGUUAGAGUAGGGAUGGCAGAGAAACACUCUGGGAGACAAGUCUGGACUGAACCUGUCAUGGCCUGAGGGACUUAGAAAACCUUAUUUGGACCUCCAGGGCCUAGAAAUUUGCAUGGGUCUCCUUCACUGUUUUUUCAGGCUUCAGCUUUCUAAUCUAUCUCUGUAGAAACCAG
This 1014-nucleotide long non-coding RNA is filed under the name Homo sapiens (human). Its description in RNAcentral is "HSALNT0309797". Lineage: Eukaryota; Metazoa; Chordata; Mammalia; Primates; Hominidae. The record is from RNAcentral.